This 467-nucleotide ribosomal RNA is filed under the name uncultured bacterium. RNAcentral describes it as "partial 16S ribosomal RNA". It matches the Rfam family "Bacterial small subunit ribosomal RNA", at positions 28 to 506 of the family's 1533-position model. The record is from RNAcentral.
GACGAACGCUGGCGGCGUGCUUAACACAUGCCAGUCGAACGGAAAGGCCCUGCUUUUGUGGGGUGCUCGAGUGGCGAACGGGUGAGUAACACGUGAGUAACCUGCCCUUGACUUUGGGAUAACUUCAGGAAACUGGGGCUAAUACCGGAUAGGAGCUCCUGCUGCAUGGUGGGGGUUGGAAAGUUUCGGCGGUUGGGGAUGGACUCGCGGCUUAUCAGCUUGUUGGUGGGGUAGUGGCUUACCAAGGCUUUGACGGGUAGCCGGCCUGAGAGGGUGACCGGCCACAGUGGGACUGAGGUACGGCCCAGACUCCUACGGGAGGCAGCAGUGGGGAAUAUUGCACAAUGGGCGGAAGCCUGAAGCAGCAACGCCGCGUGCGGGAUGACGGCCUUCGGGUGGUAAACCGCUUUCGCCUGUGACGAAGCGUGAGUGACGGUAAUGGGUAAAGAAGCACCGGCUAACUACGU